RNAcentral lists this ribosomal RNA (1067 nucleotides) under uncultured cyanobacterium. RNAcentral's name for it is "bacterial SSU rRNA". It matches the Rfam family "Bacterial small subunit ribosomal RNA", at positions 471 to 1533 of the family's 1533-position model. Lineage: Bacteria; Bacillati; Cyanobacteriota. The record is from RNAcentral.
GACGGUACCUGAAGAAAAAGCAUCGGCUAACUCCGUGCCAGCAGCCGCGGUAAUACGGAGGAUGCAAGCGUUAUCCGGAAUCAUUGGGCGUAAAGGGUCCGCAGGUGGCGAAUAAAGUCUGCUGUUAAAGACCGGGGCUAAACUCCGGAAAGGCAGUGGAAACUGAUUAGCUAGAGUACGGUAGGGGUAGAGGGAAUUCCCAGUGUAGCGGUGAAAUGCGUAGAUAUUGGGAAGAACACCGGUGGCGAAAGCGCUCUACUAGGCCGAAACUGACACUGAGGGACGAAAGCUAGGGUAGCGAAAGGGAUUAGAUACCCCUGUAGUCUUAGCUGUAAACGAUGGAUACUAGGCGUAGCUUGUAUCGACCCGAGCUGUGCCGAAGCUAACGCGAUAAGUAUCCCGCCUGGGGAGUACGCACGCAAGUGUGAAACUCAAAGGAAUUGACGGGGGCCCGCACAAGCGGUGGAGUAUGUGGUUUAAUUCGAUGCAACGCGAAGAACCUUACCAGGGCUUGACAUGUCGCGAAUCUGGCGGAAACGUUAGAGUGCCUUAGGGAACGCGAACACAGGUGGUGCAUGGCUGUCGUCAGCUCGUGUCGUGAGAUGUUGGGUUAAGUCCCGCAACGAGCGCAACCCUCGUCCUUAGUUGCCAAUAUUAAGUUAGGCACUCUAGGGAGACUGCCGGGGACAACUCGGAGGAAGGUGGGGAUGACGUCAAGUCAGCAUGCCCCUUACGUCCUGGGCGACACACGUACUACAAUGGUUGGGACAAAGGGCAGCAAGCUCGCGAGAGUAAGCGAAUCUCAUCAAACCCAGCCACAGUUCAGAUUGCAGGCUGCAACUCGCCUGCAUGGAGUAGGAAUCGCUAGUAAUCGCAGGUCAGCAUACUGCGGUGAAUUCGUUCCCGGGCCUUGUACACACCGCCCGUCACACCAUGGAAGCUGGCUACGCCCGAAGUCGUUACCCUGACCCGGUUUUGGGAGGGGGAUGCCGAAGGUAGAGCUAGUGACUGGGGUGAAGUCGUAACAAGGUAGCCGUACCGGAAGGUGUGGCUGGAUCACCUCCUUU